UGAUCAUAACUAAGCACAAAGCUGUCUGGGAAAUGUAGUCCCUUCGUCAGGCAACCGCUUCAUAGUGACAACUAUGGAGAGUUCUGGAGAAGAAGUUGUUUUAUCUGGCAUAGAAUAUGAGAGAACCUGGAGAUGCUCUAGGAUAAGGUUGCAGAAUGGAGCAACAGGAAAAAUGAAACUUUAUCAGAUAUUUAGAAUUUUCUAACUGACCCUCUUAGAUAACAUCUGGCCUAUGGGCAAGGAGCAGUGAGGCUUCUCAAGGUGCAUCUGUCCACUGCGGCCCUAAGACUGUAGGUGAGCACCUGCUGCUGGGAGGCCUCUGAAACAGGAAGAGCAUUCUUCCCCUAUUUUUCUUUCCAGGGCCUCUUGCUCUGGGAUCCUUCUGGUGUGGUCUCCUUCGUGUUCUGGAUCCAAGCAUACCAUCUGAAAUUGUUCAGUGGAAUCCUGCUCCCCAACUAUAAGCCAUAGUGAUUUAUUGGAAGUCUCCUUGUUUCCUUAACACAUAUCUCUGUCUGUUCCUGGGGACUUUGAGAGAUUAUUGUACCUCAUCUGUUCCAGAUCGUAAGGGGAAAUUUUCCCUAAGGAGAAACCUUCAAACCAAAUUAUUAGAGAAACAUUUUAAAGAAGGCUGAAAAGAGCCUAGGUCAAGAUAUUAAUACGACACCCCAAAGGAGUUGAUACAUAACUCUAACUUUUUCUGUUCAGGAAGUUUCAAAAUAUUUACUGAAAUAAUGUGAGGUUAUUAAGCCCUGUUUGGAGAACCCUUGGCUCAUUUUCUGUUUUCUGUAGACUCUUAACUGUUGUUGAUCUGGGUUGAGUUUUCCGCUCACUGGUAAGUUUCAGUAACCACAUGGUAGGUGCCUUAUGAUGCCCUUCAUGUAAAGGCCUCCAAUAACAACAAACUUGAGCCUUUGUCUGAGCUGCCAGGUACCUACUUCUCUCAUUUUGUCCCCAAUAGCUAGCUAAACAGUCUGGUUUCUGAUUAAAUGUUGCCACUGGACUUGACAUUUCUGGCACCCACAUCCACACCCUAAACAGCAUGCAUUGUCCAUUGUAUGAAAAGGUCGGUCAUUGGCCAGUUUGACUCAGCCUCUCAGAUAGAGACAGAGCCCAAUGCCUGGUCUGCUCUCCGAGUCCUGCUGCCUAAACUCUGCUCAGGCCCCUGAUACCAGGAGUGGGCUGAAGAGGAGUGGAAUAGAAUAACAAGUUGAUUUUUGGCAAAAAUACUGCCACCUCUGGAGAUCCAUUUUCCCAGGGGCUGAAAAUAUCUCCUGAGCUGGGAGCUGACUCUGCCGAUAGAGAAAGUCAAAGAUAAAGACAGGUUAAUGGGGGACUGUGGUGCUUUCUAGAAGCAGAAAGCCAAAGAAGUAAAUUGAGAACAAGUACCAGUUUUCAAAAGCUGGAGCCACGUGGGGAUGAUCUAUUGCUGGAGUCCCAGCCUAACAGGGUCUCCCAGGAAGGGCAGAGCCCAAGGCCCCAGUGAAGGAGGAAAGAUGUCAGUGUCUGUGCAUUAGGCACACAGGCUAAGCACAGCUCGAUAAUUUCAGCUGUCAUCUGACAGGACUCCUCAAAGCUCAUAGUGCGUUGGAAUUGACAUAUGAGUGGUGGCUGGGUGGGGGAGGGGUCAACAUCCUGAUUUCUAAUUUUCGGCUGCAUAGUACAGCAGGAAGAGGGGUGUGACCACGAAUUCGCAUAACCAGAAUUUCACUGCUGUUGACACUUAGUGUUUGAAAGAAAGCCACAGAUCUUCAUGACCAUUUGACAGGGUAAACUCACAGACAACACCAUCCAGGCAGGGUUGUAUAUAAGUGCACAUUUUAUAAAUAUUUUAAUAUCUGACAUUUUCCCCAAUAAAACAUCAAAGUAGGUCUCAUGGAAGAAGCUAGACUCUCUUGAACUUACCUUAAUUUGGGGUUUUAUAAUUUUUUUCAGUUCUGAUUAUACAUGAGGUAUAUCAUUCACAUUUCAGAGACCAUAGUCUUUGCAGAGAGACCUCUGAAGGUCUUAGUCUGGCUUCCUUGACCCAUGCUGAGCAGAUGUGGAGGAACACAGCAGUCUCAUGUGGCUGCGCCUACAUCACUUGCUUGUUCUAACCCAGAAGUUUUCUAAUUGUCAGAGCGCAGAAGUGUUCCCUUCCCCUGGGUCAGCAUUAUAAAAUUUCUCCUGUUCCUUUUAGAGGGUUUUGCAAUAAGCCCGCGUCAUAUUCACCAAAGCUAAGAAUUCACAGUAAUGGGGCUUUGUAAUUUCUCACGCUGAAAUCCCCUAAUUUCUUGUCAAGAACCAACUUGGAAAACACCACACUGGAGACUUCGAGUUUUGUUAUUAACUCAAGCAGCCUCUGGUUUUCAUCAGACUUUUAAUGCUUCCUCCCUCCUCUAAAAUGGUGUUUCUGAAAAACGUAAUGUGGAGGCUCUGUUAGAAGAAGUAAGGUGGAUGCCUGAAACGAACAGUCUGGGCAACUUAGCAAAAUCCACAUCCAGUCAAUGAAAGUAAUCACCUUCAUUAUGGUCAGUACUAGUGUUUGGGCUUUUGAUGUUGCUAUUAAGAAUCAUUGUUUUAUCCCAGUGGCUUGGGAGGCUGAGGCAGGAGGAUUGUGAGUUCAAAGCUAGCCUCAGCAAAAGCAAGGUGCUAGGCCACUCAGUGAGACCCUGUCUCUAAAUAAAUACAAAAUAGGGCUGGGGAUGUGGCUCAGUGGUGGAGGCCCCUGCAUUCAAUCCCCAGUACCCCGCCCCCACCCCCAAAAAUCAUUGUUUUUGGGGAAAAAAAAUUUUUUUUUGUCUUUCUUAAUUUUCUUUCAUCUGGAUUCUUAGCCCCACUCCUAACCAGCCAAAGCACAUGGGGUAGGUUUCAGUGCCCACUUGGGGAACCUUGACUCUAGGCCAGACGCCUAACUGAGAGGCUGGCCACUAAUCUCAUUCAGUGAGAUGUUUGACCUGGGAUUUGCUGAAAUCUUCCAGGGUGGAUGGAUGAGUCACCUUUCUACCAAAAGAUGAUUCCUGGAAACCUUUGGGGGCUCCUGGUAAGUUGGGAAAAGGAGAUUUAGAAACCACUCAUGGAAGCAUUGACCUUGAGUGGGGCCUCCUCUCUUUGUCUGAGAGCCUCUGAUCAUGAGUGCAGCCCUCAAGGGUGAUGGGGGAACUUCUCUCCACAUUCCAGAUCUGACAGGCAUCAUCCUAAAACUCAGCAAGGAGGUGGCAAGGUGGCAAGUUCUUUUUCUUUUCUUUGAAAAAAUUAUCUUUUUACUAGAAUCAUAACUAUUCUCUGAAUAAAACCUGGAAAAUUAAACAAAAUAUCAAAAAGAAAAUAAACUAACACCAAGCCACAAUUCAAUGUAAAUAUUUUGAUGAAGAAGUGCUUUUUAAUUUUUCUUGUAUAUAUUCUUUUAAAAAUUAUUGAGAUGAGCCGGGUGCAGUGAUGCAUGCCUAUGAUCUCAGAGAUUGAGGCAAGAGGAUUGCAAAUUUAAGGCCAGCCUGAGCAACUUAGCUGUCUCAAAAUUAAAAGCACCCCAGGUUCAAUCUCCAGUAGCCAGGGCAGGUUUUGCUCCACUUUCUACUUAACAUGUAGCAAAUAUUUUUCAUUUGACAGGGUAAACUAAAUGCUCUUUGAAAACAGGAGAUUUUUAAUGUCUACGUUUCCAUCGUAUGGAUACAUCUUAACUUAUCUUUCCAUGGACAUUUUGAAUACCGCCCAUGUUGCACUGUUAUAAAUACAUAAACAUUCUUAAGAUAAAUCCUGUGGACAUCUUAGGAAAAAUCCUUAGAAAUUGGAGCAUAUGGUUCAAUGACCUGCUUUAGAGCUCCUGAUGAGCACUGGUGAAUAGGCUCCAGAAAGGUCUCAGUGUCUAUUUCCAAACCUUGGUGCCCUUUAGUUUCUCAUAGACAAAUGCAGGCUCCCAGGCCAUAGUGGCAUCAGAACCUCUGAGAGGCAUCCCAAGAAUAUGCAUUUUAAUUCAUCCUCCCAAUUCUUACGCACAUUAAAGUCUGACAACCAGUAGCAUGCAAUAUUCAACUAGUUCAAUGUACAUUCAAUUUGACAAACAUUUAUGAUAUAAAAUAAGUAAAGCAGGGCUGGGGUUGUAGCUUAGUGGUGGAGCACUUGCCCAGCAUAUGUGAAGCACUGGGUUCGAUUCUCAGCACCACAUAUUAAUAAAUAAAGAUCAAAAUGGUACAAACUUUGGGCUGGGGUUGUGACUCAGUGGUAGAGUGCUUGCCUAGCAUGUGCAAGGCACUGGGUUCGAUUCUCAGCACCACGUAUAAAUAAAUGAAUAAAAUAAAGUUCCAUCAACAUCUAAAAAAAAAGUACUUAAAAAAUUGAAAUCUUUAAAAAAAAUGGUAAGACUUUAAAAAUUUUUUAAAAUCAAAAAAUAAGAUAAGUAAAGCAACCCCAAACUAGUAUAUUGUCCUAGCCUCUUUUGUGCUCCUAUAACAAAGUACCUGAGGCUGAGAAUUUCAUAAAGAAAAAAGAUUUAUUUAGCUCACAGCACUGGGGGUUUGAGAGAAUAUCUGCUCAGCUCUGGCAAGGGCCUCAUGAUAAAAGGCAGAAUCACAUGCAAGUGUAGGAAGUGGCACACACAGAAGAGGGACUUAGAGCUGUGCCAGGCUGUCUCAUCAUGAUCCUCCUCACAGGAAGGAAUCCCAUCCUAUGGCCUAUAUUAACCCAUUCUGAGGAAUGUGCCCCAUGACCUAAUUUCCUUUCACUGAGCCAGGCUCCACCUCCUAAAGGUCCUGCCACCCUCAACACACCACACUGAGAACCAAGCCUCUGGUACAUAAAGUCCUGGAGGACAAACCAUACCCACGCUAUAGCACAUUUCUCAAUCAGAGUUUACCUUGAAGCCUUUUUUUUUGAUUCUGCAUUUUGGGAUUUCCUUUGGUAUGGUAUAAUAAAAAGCUUAUUCUUUGCUAGGGAACCAGGAAACUUAUUGUAAAUAUGAGAUCACAGAGGCCAACAUGGUUCAUUUACUUCCUGGGUGGUCACCCAGACAUUCAGUGACGGAGGUUGAACUAGACAAAGACACACCAACCACUGGGUAGUAGACAAAAGGAAUCAACGAGAAGACUCACUCCUGAAGCCAUCCCCUCAUCCCCAGGAGGGGCCCAGAUAUCCAUCCUAGUCACCUAAGGAGGCCAGACCCUGCGCCCUGAGGUGGUAGUACUAAACUAGAUGCAAGAGGACCCAGGGCAGCCAUGCAGAGGGUGUCCAGGAGGUCCAACCACAAGAGCAGAGCACGGGGGUGAGUCCAGGGUCAGAAACCAAGAGAGCAGAGCGGGGUUAGGCAAGGGCCAGACUAAAACACCUGGGCAGAUCUCCAGGCAAGGCAGCCUCGAGAUGAGAAGAAGGAAAGCCAGGGCUGGAGGGGAGCUAUAGCAGAACUUCGGACAGGAGGGCCUCCUCUCCAAAGCGGAAAGGUUCUGUGGCUGGCCCGCCUCGGACAACAGGGAGGGGACAGCAAUGGACCUCAGGGCAGGGACUGAAAAUGGAAAUUUAGAAAACAAUGGUCGAAACAACCAUAGGUCCUCCUCACCUUCUAAGAGGAAGUGUGACGCUCCCUCCUGCCUGUGGAACAAGCGGAAACCAGCAGGCCACAUCCACCAGUCAUGCUUGGUAUCUGAGGGCCCCAGUGCCUCCUCUCCUUCCAUGACCUCAACUGCUGGAAGGCCCCCAUUGCAUCAUUUGACCUUCAGGUUCUGCCUUCACAGACAGCUCAGCUCCCCAGAGUCCCCAAUUGGUGUCUGGAUUCUGUAACUCACCUGUCAGUUUCCUGCAUGGCUCGCUCUGCCAUGACAGCUGCAGAAGCAUUAGAGCCAGACCCCCCGGCACGCCCCACCUGUGCCAUCCUCCAUGCUCAGGCACCAGGGAGUUGGCCUGUGAUCACCAAGUUUUACUGAUUCUGCGUGUGCCGCCAUUAACUCAUGGCUGUCCCCACUCAGGAUGGCUCCUCUCCUGAUUCAUCCCAAACUCAUCCACCUGGGGAUCCAGGUUCACAAUAAGUAUAGAUUCUGGCAAUGUCAACAGUUUUCCUUAGAUCUGAGGUACAACUGAUAGAAGCCCGAGAAUGACACGGGCAGUUCAAGUCCUAUCGGUUUGCCUUGUGCAAAGCCCAUGUCCAUGUUGUCCUGAACAACGUCCUCGGCUGAGGCACCUCCUCAUGAUACUCAGAAGAAGUUCUGAUUACUCACAGGACUUGGAUCCCCAGCCAGGAAAGUCUAUGUUGUGACAACGUGCCAUCAGAUCUAACCCUUUGAGGGCAGAAAUUGGAGCUCCAUGAAAUGCAGACAAGGUGUCUGGACCCUGUUUGAAAAUAUUGGGUGGUCACAAAGCAGGAAGUUCAAAGGCAAAAACGUAUUCAGUGGGUUCUAUGAUCUGGCAAGUGCCACUGGUGUUCCCACCCUUACUUGUUUAUGUUGACUCCAAGUCCCACUUGCCCUCACACUAACUAACUAACUACUAACUAACCAACCUUGGGAAUAAAAAGCAUUUAUAAAAUCUUAGGUCAAAGGUACAGGAGGGUGCUGGCCCAGGCAAGCUCUACCCCUUCCCAUAGGAGUAGCUGGGCCAAGGACCAUUGCCUGCUGGGCCAAGGGCCAUUACCUCUGAGAGGCCAGCAUCCCCUGAAGGCGAUGUGCCACCACAGCAGUCAGAAGCAACUGGGCAAAACUGAAAGCUCCCACCAUAUCCAAAGAGACCAUUCCUGUUUCCCAUCAUCUAGAUGUCAGCACAAAAUGCUGUUAGACAGCUACCAGGAACAGUGGGAGAUAUCUGGGGCCAACUCCCCAGGAUCUGAAGACCCCCAAACUGUACAAGCCAAUCUUGACUGUGGACCAUCAAAAGGAGCCCCUAAAAGAGAAUGGCUCAAAUUAAAAGUACUGAUGUUAUUAAAUGCUGAUGAGAAAUGUAGGCAGGAUGGAUCUCUCAUAACCUGUUGAUGGUAAUGGAAAUGCACAGCCAUUCUUUGAGACGGUUUGAUGGUUUGUUAUAAAGCUAAACAUAUACUUAACCUAUUAUCCAGCAGUUCCCCUCUUCAGUAGUUACACAAGAGAAGCGGAAGUGGAUGUUCAUGCAGUAACCUGUACAUGAACGCGCAUAGCAGCUUUGUUUUUAAUAGCUACAAACUGGUGACAAGGCAAAUGUCCUUUCACAAGUGUGUGGAUAACCACCUGUGGUACAUCCAGAACUUGGAACACCAUUCAUCCAAAAAAGUGCUCGCUGUUCACCUGCAACUUGAACGAAUCCCAACAGCAUUAUGCUGGGGGGAAGGAGGCCAAUCUCAAAGGGUUACAUAUGGUAUAAUUCCAAAUUCCAAAUACCAAAUUACAGCAAUAGGAACAGAUAGGGCUCAGGGUUCAGGGCUGGGGCAAGCAUGCAACUAGGGGGUGGCACAGGGAUUUGUGAUGAUGGCAUAGUUCUGUGACCCGACUACAUGACCGAUGUAGACACACAAUAACAUUUCACAGAACCACAGAGACACUCGCAGAGAGCACGUAAAAUCUGGGAAAUCAGGCAAGAUCUCUGCCUGACCUAAGAGUAUACCAGUAUCCGUCGCUUGGUUUAGACAAUGUUGAGGGGAACAAUAAAGCAUAUACUUAUUGUACUUAUUUUUGUG
This 7603-nucleotide long non-coding RNA is filed under the name Marmota monax (woodchuck). The stretch from base 4181 to 4249 matches the Rfam family "tRNA". Lineage: Eukaryota; Metazoa; Chordata; Mammalia; Rodentia; Sciuridae. The record is from RNAcentral.